UUCCUAGAUGGGCUGCCUUCCAAGGCUGACGAGCCUGUUGGCUCGUCAGCCUACACUAUAUCUCAUGAUAGAGUGAUGAAUCAGAGCUCAGGAGGCCUGAGUUCAGAUCCCUGCUCAGCUCAUGGAAAUUCACUGGAGGUGUGGAAGUGUAUAACCACUCCUUAAAUAUUUCUGUUACCUUGAAGACCCUAUUAGGGUUCUUACUUGAUGGCACAUAAUAAGAACAGUUCUGAGAUAUGGACACCUAGUACCUGGCAUUAUCAGAAUGGAGAAAGAUGUUUAUCAGUGCUUUCAAACUUAUCCUGUUUUGAGAACACUGUAAGCAAAAUGAUCUGUUACCAUAUUGCCAUACACAAGUGGGUGAUGCAGCUUACUCUGAAGAAAUGCCUUGUGGAUUUAUUUCUAAUAAACUUGUGUCUGGGCAAAGCUGUUUCAGUACAGUAACGGCAAAACAUUGUGCCUAGCAACAUAAGGCAGUGCAAACAACCUUACACGUUUUACAACAAAUGGCUUAACAGAGAAAUAUUGCGACCUUUCUGUUUUUCUUGAAAGAAAAUGCAGUUGACUUGAUCUUCUAAUUCCUAAUUUGCUUACAGAUAAGCUGGUCUUUGAAUUCUUGAAGAAGUAAUUAGGAGACCUGUCCCUACAGUGCUCAUGGAAACCUUCACAACAUUUCUUAAGGUUGCUGAGUUUGCCACUAAACAACUUACUGACAUAUUUCUCCUGGAGUGUGCAAUAGGAAAGAUGACUUCACAGGUUUUGAACUUUUCUGAGGCUGCACAUUCAAGCAUGAUUUUACAAUGUUUGAUAUUCGAUAUUCUGCUCACCCAAUUCUUUAGCCUUGAGAAGGAACAGCAAGUUACCUCUGUAAACAUUCCCAUGGGAGAGUUCCAUCUGAAAACUUUUACAGAGGUGACAUUAGAUGUAAUCCUGACGGAACUGAAUAAAGUGGUAGAAGAGGACAUGGAAGAUCUCUUGAUAUGUGAAAGAGCAACUGGGGAAGAAAGGAAACUGAAGUAUGUUAACAGAAGCUCCUAGAAACUGAAAAGGGAAUGGUUAAUACUGUAUAAGGUAAUGAUCCUUCAGAAUGGAAUUGUUAAUGAAGUGGCUCCCCAGGUUUAUCUGUAUUGUAUUUUUUGAAUGUGAUGGACUUAAUUCAUUAUAUAUCUUUCCUGUACUUAUUGAUGUAAACCUGCACUUAAAUUUGUACUAUAUUAUAAUGCAAUAUUUGAAAGAAUAGAGAGCAAAAGAGCUACUGAUUAAUGUAUUGUUUUCGCGAUGUCUAUGCUUCUUCUGCGGAUACUUACAUAUUUGUGUGUGUGAUGGAUAUUAUUUUAUGUUUAUUUUAAUUCCCCCUGUGAUUCAAGAACAAACAGGAUACAAAAUGUUUGAACAUGACAUUUUAAUUAAGAAUAAACAUGUUUAAAUUAUUUGGCUGCA
RNAcentral lists this long non-coding RNA (1440 nucleotides) under Pogona vitticeps (central bearded dragon). RNAcentral's name for it is "lncRNA (ENSPVIG00000025119.1)". Lineage: Eukaryota; Metazoa; Chordata; Lepidosauria; Squamata; Agamidae. The record is from RNAcentral.